AUUGAACGCUGGCGGCAGGCCUAACACAUGCAAGUCGAACGGUAGCACAGAGGAGCUUGCUCCUUGGGUGACGAGUGGCGGACGGGUGAGUAAUGUCUGGGAAACUGCCCGAUGGAGGGGGAUAACUACUGGAAACGGUAGCUAAUACCGCAUAACGUCGCAAGACCAAAGAGGGGGACCUUCGGGCCUCUUGCCAUCGGAUGUGCCCAGAUGGGAUUAGCUAGUAGGUGGGGUAACGGCUCACCUAGGCGACGAUCCCUAGCUGGUCUGAGAGGAUGACCAGCCACACUGGAACUGAGACACGGUCCAGACUCCUACGGGAGGCAGCAGUGGGGAAUAUUGCACAAUGGGCGCAAGCCUGAUGCAGCCAUGCCGCGUGUAUGAAGAAGGCCUUCGGGUUGUAAAGUACUUUCAGCGAGGAGGAAGGCGUUGUGGUUAAUAACCGCAGCGAUUGACGUUACUCGCAGAAGAAGCACCGGCUAACUCCGUGCCAGCAGCCGCGGUAAAAGGG
Molecule: ribosomal RNA, 511 nt
Filed under: uncultured Enterobacterales bacterium
Lineage: Bacteria; Pseudomonadati; Pseudomonadota; Gammaproteobacteria; Enterobacterales
Description: bacterial SSU rRNA
Rfam family: Bacterial small subunit ribosomal RNA
Source: RNAcentral